RNAcentral lists this ribosomal RNA (431 nucleotides) under uncultured bacterium. RNAcentral's name for it is "partial 16S ribosomal RNA". It matches the Rfam family "Bacterial small subunit ribosomal RNA", at positions 29 to 507 of the family's 1533-position model. The record is from RNAcentral.
AACGAACGCUGGCGGCAGGCUUAACACAUGCAAGUCGAACGCCCCGCAAGGGGAGUGGCAGACGGGUGAGUACCGCGUGGGAAUCUACCCAUCCCUACGGAAUAACGCAUGGAAACGUGUGCUAAUACCGUAUACGCCCUACGGGGGAAAGAUUUAUCGGGGAUGGAUGAGCCCGCGUUGGAUUAGCUAGUUGGUGGGGUAAAGGCCUACCAAGGCGACGAUCCAUAGCUGGUCUGAGAGGAUGAUCAGCCACAUUGGGACUGAGACACGGCCCAAACUCCUACGGGAGGCAGCAGUGGGGAAUAUUGGACAAUGGGCGCAAGCCUGAUCCAGCCAUGCCGCGGGAGUGAUGAAGGCCUUAGGGUUGUAAAGCUCUUUCACCGGAGAAGAUAAUGACGGUAUCCGGAGAAGAAGCCCCGGCUAACUUCGUG